GCCGUCGUAGCUCAGUGGUAGAGCACUUCCAUGGUAAGGAAGGGGUCUCGGGUUCAAAUCCCGAUGACGGCUCCA
This 75-nucleotide transfer RNA is filed under the name Candidatus Komeilibacteria bacterium RIFOXYC1_FULL_37_11. Its description in RNAcentral is "tRNA-Thr". It matches the Rfam family "tRNA". Rfam says of the family: Transfer RNA (tRNA) molecules are approximately 80 nucleotides in length. Their secondary structure includes four short double-helical elements and three loops (D, anti-codon, and T loops). RNAcentral also lists the same sequence under 1 other name. Lineage: Bacteria; Candidatus Komeiliibacteriota. The record is from RNAcentral.